Molecule: long non-coding RNA, 720 nt
Organism: Gigantopelta aegis
Lineage: Eukaryota; Metazoa; Mollusca; Gastropoda; Neomphalida; Peltospiridae
Exons: 3
Source: RefSeq, a predicted model, not a curated record
GGUUCCUAAACAGUCAUACCUGGGAUUUGAUUGGCUUAGAGAUAACAACAGGAAAAAACGCGCCAUUUGCAGUUUGCCAAAAUAAAUUUAAUAAUAAAUAAUGACAAAACAUUGUGUAUUUUGCAUUAUGAAUUGGAUUUGAGAUCAUUUUGAUUGAGCAGAAACAAUCACAGUUUAUUACCGAAUACUUGGCUAUGGCGGAAAAUGAAGAACUUCGAUCAAGUUUCGGAUGUCCUACUAUUUUCGUCACGUUUGGAAGGAAAAAAAGAAAAAUCGUCAGCACAUUCUGGUCAUCAUAUUAUGGAAAUAUUUGUGACUGAAUCCCAUCUGAAUGUUGGAUGACAUAUAUCAAGAUGACACUGAACAGGACAUAACUGAGGAAAAUGGAUGUGAAAUAAUCCAAUCUAACAGUUGGAAAUAAAUAUAUAUAGUAUUUAUAAAAUAUUUGUUUGUAUAUACUGUUCAGAUAUAUUAGUGAGUCAGAAUGAAACAUCACUUUGUUUGUUAAGACUAUUGUGCUUCAAUUUUUAUGUUUUGUGGACAGCUAGUUUACAGAUAGGGUGUGUAAGCGGUGGCAUUAAUACAGCAAUUGCCCGAGAAUAUUGAAAUUUGGCCUCCAAGGACAGAUUGCUGCCUAUUUUCAUUUGUUUAAUGAUUAGUUCAUCACCAACUGCUGGAUGUAAAAAAUUAAAUUGAUAAUUAAUUCUGACCCAUAGUCUU